RNAcentral lists this ribosomal RNA (487 nucleotides) under uncultured bacterium. Its description in RNAcentral is "bacterial SSU rRNA". It matches the Rfam family "Bacterial small subunit ribosomal RNA", at positions 15 to 507 of the family's 1533-position model. The record is from RNAcentral.
GAUCAUGGCUCAGAUUGAACGCUGGCGGCAUGCCUUACACAUGCAAGUCAAACGGGCUCAGCUCUUUCGGGAGUUUGAGUUAGUGGCGGACGGGUGAGUAACGCGUAAGAAUCUACCUUUAGGAGGGGGACAACAGUUGGAAACGACUGCUAAUUCCCCAUAUGCUGAGGAGUGAAAUGGUGAAUAACCGCCUAAAGAUGAGCUUGCGUCUGAUUAGCUAGUUGGUAAGGCAAUGGCUUACCAAGGCGAUGAUCAGUAGCUGGUCUGAGAGGAUGAUCAGCCACACUGGGACUGAGACACGGCCCAGACUCCUACGGGAGGCAGCAGUGGGGAAUUUUGGACAAUGGGCGCAAGCCUGAUCCAGCAAUGCCGCGUGCAGGAAGAAGGCCUUCGGGUUGUAAACUGCUUUUGUACGGAACGAAAAGGUCUGGGUUAAUACCCUGGGCUCAUGACGGUACCGUAAGAAUAAGCACCGGCUAACUACGUA